CUGGUUGCUUCGGCCAUCUUUAUGGAUAACUGCGAAAAAGGAUUGUCCAGAAGCCAACCCCUUCUGUCCUUGAGCAACUGUUCCAUGGUCGGGAAUGACAAAGAGAAGCCGCUCGAGACCGGUCUGGUUCGUCGUCCAUGCUGGUGGGAAGGGGAGCUGCUAGGAUUCGCGUGCGACUGGAGGCAAGAGAUGGUGGCCUCGCUGAGGGAGAUCGACCAGAAGAAAUAAGCGGGGCAGCUAGGCUUUGGGUGGUGGUAGAUUCAAACACCGAUGGCUACAACUGCAAGAAGCUGUGACUCUUUUUUUUGCACCAGAGGUCUUGGUGAACCAAUUCGAGGUGUCGUUGAGUUCUACAGGAUCUCCUCCACAGUGAUGUCCUAGCCAUCCAUAAGGUAUGUCAAAAUUUUCGUCCCUUUUGUGUGUUCUUGGGAUUGAAUAAUAUGAUGACUUUAUCACUAACUGCAAUCUUCCUAUUCGAGAGCGAUGCCGAGCAGGGAGCUGUAUUUUGACAAUGCGAAUUGUAGUGUUCUCUUCCAA
Long non-coding RNA from Lolium rigidum, 537 nucleotides. RefSeq lists it as uncharacterized. The transcript is spliced from 4 exons. The record is from RefSeq and is a predicted model, not a curated record. NCBI's taxonomy places the organism in Eukaryota, Viridiplantae, Streptophyta, Magnoliopsida, Poales, Poaceae.